RNAcentral lists this non-coding RNA (45 nucleotides) under Schistosoma mansoni. Lineage: Eukaryota; Metazoa; Platyhelminthes; Trematoda; Strigeidida; Schistosomatidae. The record is from RNAcentral.
AUCCAACUGAUGAAUCCCGAAUAGAAUGAAAUGUGAGUCCUGGAU